UACAGAGGGGGCAAGCGUUAUUCGGAAUUAUUGGGCGUAAAGGGCGCGUAGGCGGCGAUUCAAGUGAAGGGUGAAAUCCCUCGGCUUAACCGAGGAACUGCCUGUCAGACUGGGUUGCUUGAGACCGGGAGAGGCGAGUGGAAUUCCCAGUGUAGCGGUGAAAUGCGUAGAUAUUGGGAGGAACACCAGUGGCGAAGGCGGCUCGCUGGACCGGAACUGACGCUGAGGCGCGAAAGCGUGGGGAGCAAACAGG
Molecule: ribosomal RNA, 253 nt
Filed under: uncultured bacterium
Lineage: Bacteria
Description: partial 16S ribosomal RNA
Rfam family: Bacterial small subunit ribosomal RNA
Source: RNAcentral